CCUACGGGAGGCAGCAGUGAGGAAUAUUGGUCAAUGGGCUUACGCCUGAACCAGCCAAGUCGCGUGAGGGAAGACUGCCCUAUGGGUUGUAAACCUCUUUUGUCAGGGAGCAAUUGGCGCUACGUGUAGCGUUAUCGAGAGUACCUGAAGAAAAAGCAUCGGCUAACUCCGUGCCAGCAGCCGCGGUAAUACGGAGGAUGCGAGCGUUAUCCGGAUUUAUUGGGUUUAAAGGGUGCGUAGGCGGAAUGCCAAGUCAGCGGUAAAAUCGCGGGGCUCAACCUCGCUCCGCCGUUGAAACUGGCGGUCUUGAGUGGGCGAGAAGUAGGCGGAAUGCGUGGUGUAGCGGUGAAAUGCAUAGAUAUCACGCUGAACUCCGAUUGCGAAGGCAGCAUACCGGAGCCCAACUGACGCUGAAGCACGAAAGCGUGGGUAUCGAACAGGAUUAGAUACCCGGGUAGUC
Molecule: ribosomal RNA, 460 nt
Filed under: uncultured bacterium
Lineage: Bacteria
Description: partial 16S ribosomal RNA
Rfam family: Bacterial small subunit ribosomal RNA
Source: RNAcentral